This 69-nucleotide ribosomal RNA is filed under the name SAR116 cluster bacterium. RNAcentral describes it as "partial 23S ribosomal RNA". The record is from RNAcentral. Lineage: Bacteria; Pseudomonadati; Pseudomonadota; Alphaproteobacteria; Puniceispirillales (SeqCode).
AUAGGCCAGGUGUGGAAGCGCAGUAAUGUGUGAAGCUAACUGGUACUAAUCGUUCGAUUGGCUUGAUCA